Long non-coding RNA from Actinia tenebrosa (Australian red waratah sea anemone), 518 nucleotides. RefSeq lists it as uncharacterized. The record is from RefSeq and is a predicted model, not a curated record. Lineage: Eukaryota; Metazoa; Cnidaria; Anthozoa; Actiniaria; Actiniidae.
GCUUAUGCAUACAGGUAUCCCAUCCCUAAGUAAACCUGAAAAUGGAUAAUGCUGACACUACACACUGUUAAAAAACAGAUUUGAAAAAGCUUACCAAAUCAAGAGUUUGUAAAGAUCAAAUUAGAAUUUAAAACCUGAUUUUUGGGGAGGAAGAAAAACCCAUGAAGCACAGGAGAGAACCGACAAACAACUCUACUCUACUGGCAUAUGUUGAGUCUGAGGAUUGGACUUGGGUAGUAUUGAAUGAUUUUGAAAUUUGACCUUGGAAAAUCAAGAGCUGUACAUUGACAGAUUGGACUGGAAGUCAGUUAACUGGAUCUUGGAUUUCUUUUUUUUUUCUUGAAAAGAACCGUAUAUUUAUGGACUGGACUAGACUGGGAAUAACUGGAUCUUGGAUCGCAAAAAUGUUUCCACAUCGGAUCUGCAGCUUUUAUCCUAUACUUUUCAUGUUGAUAUUGAUAACUAGUAAUUUCAUGCUAAAAUUUUCCUUAUAAAUAAAAUGCCAACAGGAAAUUUGA